Pleuronectes platessa (European plaice) is the source of this 1651-nucleotide long non-coding RNA. RefSeq lists it as uncharacterized. The transcript has 3 exons. NCBI's taxonomy places the organism in Eukaryota, Metazoa, Chordata, Actinopteri, Pleuronectiformes, Pleuronectidae. The record is from RefSeq and is a predicted model, not a curated record.
GAUAUUUGUGCUAUGUACACGAAUUAACAUAUUUUUGCACAUAAUAUUUUUAAACCAAAGCUGCAGUGUGUUAUUUUUGGGCCCGGCCCACACACUGCUUCUUUUGAGAGAUUUAUCAUGCACCGCGAUCCUAAGUAGAACAACCAUUAUCUAAAAAAGCCAAAUAGGGAGUGGGCCUGUUUUUCUUUUCUUUUCUUUUUGGAAAGUGAUGACAGGAAGAUUGUCUUCGCCUGUGGACUGGAGGUGUGUUUGCUUUCACACUGCUCCAGAGAACAUAAGCAGAGACGCUAUCUCCAUUCCCAUCUGAUCUGGCCAGGUAGAGCAGCAGUAGCAUUGGCAGGCAAAGAUUCCUUUAGACCAAAUGGAGUUGAGCAGGAGAUCCUCGCGUUCACAACAACAACAAAAAAGAUCCCCGGAGUGUUCAGGUUUUGAGUCCAUCUUGGGUUGGAGCGUCAUCAACAUACCCACUUGCUCGAGGUGAAUCCUCUGGAGGACCUCCUGCUGUUUUCUCACAUCGACUCGUUUGGACUCCUGAGUUUAUACCAGGGUUAUGGCAGGAGAAACGCCCGCAGAAAGUCGGGAGCGUCUCACACGGACAUGUCCAUUCUCACAUACAUCCCCUUCAGAGAAAGUCAGGAGAUUACCGGAGAUCAGUGCAUGUCUGAAAGCUUUAUCUUGUAAUGUUUAAUAUUCUUGACGAAUACAACAAUAAAAGUCAAAGCUCAGGUAUAGAAACUGUCCAAACUCCAACAACCUAGCAACUGUCGAGCAUUGCAACAGACAGUUUGGUGCAUGGAAACACCUUUUUCUACAAACAAACAAAUGAGAAAUAUAGAAAUGUCCUAUUUGAAAUUGCCCAAUGCUUCACUGCAUCACUCAUAGUAAAAGGAUAAGUCAGAUAAUGGGUUCUGGGGGCCUUGUAAGAGCUUAAUCAACUGAACACUCACAGAGCGCUGCAUUCCCGAACACAUGAAUUUCCUCACGAGUGAUCUCUCAAAUCACUGAGGAAACGCCAAGGAUGGAAGCUACGGAGGGAAACACGAGCAACAAAAAGAGAACACUGUUAUUAAUAUAAAUGUGUGUUUUUGAAUCUGACAUGACAAUAGAUAAUCAUUGAAGAAUAUUCACUUGAUUAUGUGGCCAUCUGUUCAGAUGAAGGCUGCGAGUCUAAAAAUACUUCAGUUCAGCAACCGUCCAAAUUGAGUCAAACCCGGACCAGUGUUCCCCGUAAGGGAAGGCAACAACUAUGACCUCAGUCUGUUAUUUUGGUAAUGGCUAAUUAGAAGGGGCUUGUUUCCGAUUAGCUCCUAAUGUUACUUACACAGACCAUUGCCUUGUUUCCGUGUAUAUUGAGUUAUCCCUCAGUGAACCCCUCUCGCUGGUGCACUGCUGGAAUAACUGGUUUGGUGCUUCCAAUCAGGCUGUUUAUUUUUGUCCUUGAUAAUGUAUGCAAUCAUGACACUGUCAGUCCAUUAUUCUUAUAUUCAAUCCCAGUUUUUGUCACCUUGUGUAUGUUUAACUAAUCACUUAACUGGGGAAGGGCCCUGAGACCCUCCCCAGAGAAACAACUGGUAUUUGGUUGAAUGGUUUUAAUUAUUCUAUGUAGAAAAGACUCGCUAAACUUUGGAGUGUAAUUUCUCUGCCUUCCUCU